AGUCACGUGGUCUAAUGGUUAUGAUUUCUCGUUCACAUCGAAUAUCCUUCGAGGCGCCGAGAAGGUUCCCGGUUCGAUCCCGGGCGUGACUA
This 92-nucleotide transfer RNA is filed under the name Aspergillus sclerotioniger CBS 115572. RNAcentral describes it as "tRNA-Val". It matches the Rfam family "tRNA". Rfam says of the family: Transfer RNA (tRNA) molecules are approximately 80 nucleotides in length. Lineage: Eukaryota; Fungi; Ascomycota; Eurotiomycetes; Eurotiales; Aspergillaceae. The record is from RNAcentral.